CUUUCUGACGUCCUAAAAGGAAUCAAAGUUAUCAAAACUACAGUUGAAAAAAGGUUAAAAGAGAGGAGCACACAUCAAGCAACAGAAGUUCUACUUCUAGCGCUGAGACAAGCAUCAAUCGAAUCCCAUUAUCAUCAAGAACUUAUAGUUUUGGAUCUUAUGAAGUUUUGGGCUUCAAUAAUGAGGCAGAUGCAGUUAUUAAUCUACUCAAAAGAGGAUCAAAUGAGCUUUCGAUUGUCUCCAUAGUCGGCAUGCCUGGAGUAGGUAAGACAACACUUGCGAGGAUAGCAUACAAUGAUCCUUCGGUUCAAUUGCACUUUCAUAAACUUGCAUGGUGCCUUGUUUUUGAAACAUACAGAAGUAGGGACUUGUUGCUUGACAUUGUCAACUGCAUUACUUCAGUUGAAGAUGUAGAUCUAUAUGAUAUGAGUGAUGAAGAUUUAACAGAUCUAAUCAGGAAAAGUUUAUUGCGACAGAGAUACCUUGUUGUUAUAGAUGAUAUCUAGGAGAUGGGAGCUUGGGAUUCUAUUAGACAGUCACUUCCAAGAGAUCGAAAUGGCAGCAGAAUUGUCUUAACAAGUCAAAAUCAUAAUCUAGCUUUGCAAACUGGUCUUGCUUACAAUACUCAUCUUCUUUCUCCAUUCACUGAUGAAAAAAGCUGGAAAUAUUUGGAAGAAAUGCUAUUCCACACCCACGGUUGCCCUGACAAUCUAUUAGAUGUUGCAAAGAAAAUUGCAAGGAAAUGUAAAGGACUACUUCUGGCGAUUGUUGCAAUUCUGGCUCUCCUUCAAAAGGAAGAGAGGAAUCUUGAUUUUUGGGGACGAAUUGAAGAAAACUCAAAUCCAGGCAUUGCUAGCAAAGGGUACAGGGAUAUUCUAGAACGAAGCUACAAGCAUUUACCUGACCAUUUGAAGCCUUGCUUUCUAUAUUUUGGUGCCUUUCAAGCUGGUAAGGCAAUUAGUGCCCAAAAGUUGACAUUGUUAUGGGUUGCAGAAGGAUUCAUACGAACAACUGCAAUGGGGAGCAUGGAGAGCUUAGAAGUUUUGGCAAAAGACUACUUGAUGGAGCUCAUCAAUCGUAGCUUUGUAGAUGUCACUGAAAGAAGUUCUGAUGGUGGGAUAAAGCAUACCGACUUAAUGAUCUAUAACACGAUUUCUGCCUGGAAAAAGCUCAAGAAGACAAGUUCUUGCACAUUGAUUGGUCUGAUAUUUCUCAUGGCUUCUCAAGUCGAGCAAAGCAUUACCCUUACCGGUUAAGCAUUCAUUCUAAAUGGGAAACUUUCGGUAAGCCAAAGCCUGUUGGUCAAUAUCUCUACUCACUAUUGGUCUCUUCUGAAAUUAGAAGGAAUCAAUCCUAUUUAAAAUCCGUUGCCUUUCAGUAUUUUCAUAGCUUUAAACUCCUUCACAUCUUGAAUUUGGAAGGCAUCUACUUGGAUUUAUCUUUUCCUGAAGUAAUCAUAUCAAUGGUUCAUUUAAGAUACUUAGCAAUCCAAGGUAGUUUUACGGCAAUUCCAUUAUCAAUAGCCAAUCUUUGGAAUCUAAGAAGCAUUGCUGUGAAAGGAUUACAACCCUUGAUUUGUUUACCAGAAACAGUUUGGACGAUGAGAAAUUUGAAACAUGUGCAUGUAAGUGAAAAUGCUGUUAUCUCUCUGGAUGAUCUUGAGCUUGAGUAUUCAUCUAUGUUAGUGAAUAACAUGAAAACCUUUUCCACAUUAGCUCUUCAUCAUGUAGCAGAUCCUGAGAAGGUGUUAAGAAGGUUAAGUGGACUUUAGAAGCUCAAAUGUAUUGUUUCAUUAUCACAGCUGUGUUGUGAUAACGAGAAUCAGUUUCCAGCUUUGGCCUACCUAGAAAAUCUCCAGGCACUAACAUUGUAUACUCUCGGUUAUGAAGGUCUAGCGUCUUGCAGUUGGAUACAGAAUCAAUUUCACACAUUUGCUUUUCCCUCAACUCUUAAGAAACUGACCGUGUAUAAAUUGGGACUACCUUGGAGGGCAAUGUCAAUAAUCAGGCAGCUACCCAAACUCGAGGUUCUCAAAUUACGAGAAGAAACUUUUAGGGGUAAAAGAUGGGACAUGACACCGGAAGAGGAGGAAUUUUGUAACCUCAAAUACUUGGAACUGUCAAAUUUAAACCUUCGACAAUGGUCUGUCGCCUAUGAUCCCUUCCCAUGCCUUGAACAACUUCUUAUGGGAGAUUGUUAUAGAUUCGUGGAGAUCCCCUAUUGUUUUGAAAGAGUUACAACCCUGCAGAUGAUUGAGUUGUGUCGAUGCAGCGAUAGAGUCAAAAGCUUGGCUGAGGUGAUUCUCAAAAAACAACGGGACUGGGGCAACUAUGAACUUGAACUUCUGAUCUCAGAUUCAUAGAAGAUGCUUGAAAUGGAAAUUCUCAGCCGAAGGUCCAGUUUGAUAAAACAAAACUUGUAAGAAACAUUUCUUCUUGUUCCAAUUCCAGAGCUGAGUGGCUCUGUUGAUUCAGGCAAUGGCAGGUGAGGCGCUGAAAAAUGAAACUAAAGUGGCAAAUCCAAAAAGUUAGUUUCCUAUUGAACAUGUAUGGUUCUGUUUUGGGCCUUUCCAAUCAUGCUUAACUUCUAUGAAGAGGCUAAUACAGAGCCUAAUACCAUUCAAAUUCAAGAACGGUUCCACAAGAAUAAGAUUGAAGACUUACAAAGAGCCCCUAACACCAUUGAAUUCAAUAUUUUAUGACAGUUCUUGAAUUGAGUGAUAUUAGCCAUUAUGGGCUCUCAGUAGUUUUUUAACUUCUGCUGAUCUUGAUUUGUUUUUUGAAGGUUGUUUUUAUCAAGAUGUGCUAAAAUUAAAGAAAAAAAAAUUAUAGCAGGAGAUCAACUUUUGGUACCAUAAUUUCAUAACAAGACUUGUUUAGUGACAAGUCUUCUCCAUUAUUAUGUAGAGUUAUAAAGCUCAAAAUUUAUGAUUGAAUGGAGCAAAAGAUGUUUGUUUGAACA
This is a long non-coding RNA of Coffea eugenioides, 2961 nucleotides long. RefSeq lists it as uncharacterized. The transcript is spliced from 3 exons. The record is from RefSeq and is a predicted model, not a curated record. Lineage: Eukaryota; Viridiplantae; Streptophyta; Magnoliopsida; Gentianales; Rubiaceae.